Molecule: small nuclear RNA, 109 nt
Filed under: Sorex araneus (European shrew)
Lineage: Eukaryota; Metazoa; Chordata; Mammalia; Eulipotyphla; Soricidae
Source: RNAcentral
UGGAUAUUGAAAGAUAACUAAUACACUCAAAUUGGAACGACAGAGAGAUUGGCAUCACCCCUGUAGGAGGGUGACAGGCAUGUAAGUUAGUGAAGCAUUUCAUGUUUUU